CUUUCACCGACCUGCCCGAGCAGGUGCCCGAGUCCAUCUCGAACCAGAAGCGUGGCGUGAAGGUGCUGAAGCAGGAGCUGGGCGGGCUGGGGAUCAGCAUCAAGGGGGGCAAGGAGAACAAGAUGCCCAUCCUCAUCAGCAAGAUCUUCAAGGGGCUGGCGGCGGACCAGACCCAAGCCCUGUACGUGGGCGACGCCAUCCUGUCCGUGAACGGAGCCGACCUGCGGGACGCCACCCACGACGAGGCGGUGCAGGCGUUGAAGCGCGCGGGCAAGGAAGUGCUGCUGGAAGUGAAGUACAUGCGAGAAGCCACGCCCUAUGUGAAGAAAGGAUCCCCAGUAUCCGAGAUUGGGUGGGAAACACCUCCGCCUGAAUCCCCUCGGUUAGGGGGCAGCACCUCAGACCCCCCCUCAUCGCAGUCCUUCUCCUUCCACAGAGACCGGAAAAGCAUCCCCCUCAAAAUGUGCUACGUCACUCGGAGUAUGGCCUUGGCCGACCCUGAGAACAGGCAGCUUGAAAUCCACUCUCCAGAUGCUAAGCACACGGUGAUCCUAAGGAGCAAGGACUCAGCCACGGCCCAGGCAUGGUUCAGUGCCAUCCAUUCCAACGUUAAUGACCUGCUGACCCGAGUGAUUGCUGAGGUCAGAGAGCAGCUGGGGAAAACAGGCAUUGCUGGGAGCCGAGAGAUUAGGCAUCUUGGCUGGCUUGCAGAAAAGGUGCCAGGGGAGAGCGAGAAACAGUGGAAACCAGCCCUGGUUGUGCUGACUGAGAAAGACCUUUUAAUCUAUGACAGCAUGCCACGGAGGAAGGAAGCCUGGUUCAGCCCAGUUCACACAUACCCUCUUCUUGCCACCAGUCCUCAUCCAUGAACAUUAUCUUCAGAUUCUGAGACAUUCCCACAACAGAAACCAAAGAAAGAUUAGACCACAGUCACUGGAUUCCAGUUACUAAGAAGCAAAGUUGGACCCAAGCGUCUUGAAAUGAUUCUCAGAAACAAAAGUUGAAAUAAGGUAGUUUCUGCAACUCUCAGGCAACAUGAAAAUAAAAUUUACCCUCGUACAUAGCCUUGUUCUCACAGUUUCUGGGCAUUAUGAACAAUGGGGACUGUUUUUUCAUUCAUUCAUUCGUUCAUUCAUUCAUUCAUUCAUCAGUCAACAUUUAUAAAUCAUCUACUAUGUGCCAGGAGUUAUAAUUGGGACAAGGGAUAAAGAGGUGAAAAAAAUUCAAACUUGUGAACCUAGCAUUAUCUGGAACAAAGUGUGUUGAUGUGCAGGAACACAUAAGGAACCAUUUGCAGUAAAGACAACAAAAAAUGCCAAACUCUGCCUGGACAGUGAUGGAGGACUCCUUGCAGUAGAAGUCAUGUUGAAUUGAAGCCUGAGGGAAAACUCACCAGAGGAACAAGGGAAGGGAGCCCAGAGAGGGGCAUGAGCAUUCCAGACUUAGGGAAGAUCCAAGCACAGAGCUGGUGCACUGCUGCGUGGCCCAGUUAGAGCACCACGUAGGCCCUGGGGAAUGAGGGGAAAUGAAUCAGAUACUCACUAAGUACCCAGCACUUGACACAAGUUACCACUUACAACUUGUGUAUCCAUUCUGCAAGGCCUGUAUUAGUGUGCCCAUUUUGCAGAUUAGGUACCUGAGGCUCAGAAGAGUUCAGGAAUCACCCCAGGUGGUGUAGCUUCUGAGAGAUGGAGGUGGGAUUCCAGUUCCGGGACUGUGUGUCACUUGCAUACCUGUGCCUUGGUACCACAGGGGGUUGACACAGAGGUGGGAGAUGGGGAGGAAGACUUUUCACUAGCGUAUCCUUUUCUACCUUUUGAAAUUGGAACCAUGGGGAACAGCAGGAGUCUUUGGGGAUGAUAAGAGUCAUGGGUGUGAUCUGGGUAGAUAUUUUUAUAUUUGGUGUCAAAUAACAAAUGUCCAAGGAGUGACUGCUGAAUCCAAACAAUUUUGCAGUGAUCCUCAUUCCAUUGUAAAGAAA
This 1981-nucleotide small RNA is filed under the name Pan troglodytes (chimpanzee). RNAcentral describes it as "processed transcript". The record is from RNAcentral. Lineage: Eukaryota; Metazoa; Chordata; Mammalia; Primates; Hominidae.